This 1299-nucleotide long non-coding RNA is filed under the name Aquilegia coerulea. RNAcentral describes it as "long non-coding RNA (ACOE_LNC002308)". The record is from RNAcentral. Lineage: Eukaryota; Viridiplantae; Streptophyta; Magnoliopsida; Ranunculales; Ranunculaceae.
AUAAUGCCAAAUGGAAUAGUGUGAUUGGAUUCUAGAAACUUUUAUUAGGCAUAAAUAAACCCUAAUUCCAGUAUUCUGUUUUGAAUAAACAAUGGUUGUUUUAUCUCAAGAACACAGUCCAUACCUAAAGUUCAAGAUCUAGAGAGAUUGUUAUAUUUUUUUUUUAAUUAUAAUUGAUUAUGAAUGAUGCUGAAAAAAAAAAUGAGGAAGAUGACGAGGAUGGGUGGUAUCGGAAAGUAUAUUGAUUAUUGAGAGUUGGAGUAGUUAGUUUUUUGAGACCACAGUUCUUCAACGGCUGAGGUUAGGCUGCCACUCAUCUAAAGAUGGUGUUUGUUAUCAUCCUCAGGAUCUUUUAUUUUUGAGAUUCCUUUCAACUCCUAGAACUCAAAGAAGAGCAUUGUUACAAUCUGAAAUUGCUAAUUACGUGGGAGGUAAAAGGAUGAAUUGAGAGCAUGACUUCAACAAUUUGUAAUUUUUGCUUUCAACUUAUUGUAAUUUCAGAGAUUUGGUUAUGAGCUUGUUAUACUUUAUUUUCUUCCAAAUUAAUAAACAUUCUAGUUAUCCCCCGAGUGUUAAAAGCUUUUUGCAAGCUGUAUGAGUUCAAUUACAUUGGAAUCCCUCAAAAUAUUUUGUGAAAAAAUAUGGUUUUGACAAGAUGAGAGAGAGAGAGUAUUUGUUCGAUCUCCUUGUAAACAAAAUAUUGUUAGAGAUAAAGCAAUUGAAAUUCUCAUGGUUUCUCAUCAUAUCAAUUAAUUAUGGUGGUGAAGAAGGUAUUACUUCAUUGCCUUCUGUACGAAUGACAUUGAGUCUACACUGAUUACUGUCGGCCUUAAAAUAAAUGUUCAUAGCGUUUCAUGUUCAUAGCGUUUCAUGUUUUUUUUUAUCUGGUGUUAGAGAUAAAGUGAUUGUAAUUCUCAUCAUUUCUCAUCAUAGGGUGGUGAAGAAAAUUGGACUGGGUGGCAUCGGAAGAAAUUGUCUUAUUCAUGGUCCUGAUUAACGCAGGGAUGAGGUGAAAUUGGGUUAUGGUGUUGGUUUAGGUGAGUAAUCAAAGCUGAUUUUAUAGUUGCUGAUAUCUAUCUGUUGUUUCCCUUUGUAAAUUUUCCAGUUUAAUGUUAGACUAAUAUCAUUUUGUUUAUGUUGUUUCAUCAUCUAUCUGUUGAUUUUAUAUUUGGAAGUUGUAGAGACAUAGCAAAAGCCUGCAGAGUAUAACAAAAGUGUUGAUGAUUUAUCGAAAGAUAGCUAGGAAUUCCCUUAAUGGCUUUUAUAUCAGGUCAGCUGGUAAUGAACUUAUCUGUAUUU